AGAAUCAACGCUGGCGGCGUGCCUAACACAUGCAAGUCGAACGAGAAAGGGUAGCAAUACCUGAGUAAAGUGGCGCACGGGUGAGUAACACGUGACUAACCUACCUUUAGUGGGGGAUAACCUAGGGAAACCUGGGCUAAUACCGCAUAAUACCUACGGGUCAAAGCAGCAAUGCGCUGAAUGAGGGGGUCGCGGUCGAUUAGUUAGUUGGCAGGGUAAUGGCCUACCAAGACUGUGAUCGAUA
Molecule: ribosomal RNA, 244 nt
Filed under: uncultured bacterium
Lineage: Bacteria
Description: partial small subunit ribosomal RNA
Rfam family: Bacterial small subunit ribosomal RNA
Source: RNAcentral